This 503-nucleotide ribosomal RNA is filed under the name uncultured bacterium. RNAcentral describes it as "bacterial SSU rRNA". It matches the Rfam family "Bacterial small subunit ribosomal RNA", at positions 29 to 521 of the family's 1533-position model. The record is from RNAcentral.
AACAAACGCUGGCGGCGUGUCUUAAGCAUGCAAGUUGAGCGGCAAGGGGGAGCAAUCCCCCCCUAGAGCGGCGGACUGGUGAGUAACACGUGGAUGAUCUACCCAUGGCAUGGGGAUAGUCACUAGAAAUAGUGGGUAAUACCGAAUACGGUGCGUACUGUGAGGGUACGCAAGAAAGGUGCUACGGCACCGGCCUAGGAUGAGUCUGCGUCCCAUUAGCUAGUUGGUGAGGUAAGAGCCCACCAAGGCGAUGAUGGGUAGCCGGCCUGAGAGGGUGUACGGCCACACUGGGACUGAGAUACGGCCCAGACUCCUACGGGAGGCAGCAGCUAAGAAUAUUCCGCAAUGGACGAAAGUCUGACGGAGCGACGCCGCGUGGAUGAAGAAGGCCGAAAGGUUGUAAAGUUCUUUUGUUGGGGAAGAAUAACCAUGGGAGGGAAUGCCCGUGGGAUGACAUGAACCGACGAAUAAGCCCCGGCUAACUACGUGCCAGCAGCCGCGGU